RNAcentral lists this ribosomal RNA (1029 nucleotides) under Xiphinema sp. N34. RNAcentral describes it as "SSU rRNA". It matches the Rfam family "Eukaryotic small subunit ribosomal RNA", at positions 215 to 1262 of the family's 1831-position model. Lineage: Eukaryota; Metazoa; Nematoda; Enoplea; Dorylaimida; Longidoridae. The record is from RNAcentral.
AAAAAGCCCGUCAUUUGGUGAAUCUGAAUAACUUUGCCGAUCGCACGGUCCUAGUACCGGCGACGUAUCUUUCAAGUGUCUGCCUUAUCAACUUUCGAUGGUAGGUUAUACGCCUACCAUGGUAGUAACGGGUAACGGAGAAUAAGGGUUCGACUCCGGAGAGGGAGCCUGAGAAACGGCUACCACAUCCAAGGAAGGCAGCAGGCGCGCAAAUUCCCACUUCCAGAACGGAGAGGUAGUGACGAAAAAUAACGAGACAGUCCUCUUCGAGGUCUGUCAUCGGAAUGGGUACAAUUUAAAUCCUUUAACGAGGAUCUAUUGGAGGGCAAGUCUGGUGCCAGCAGCCGCGGUAAUUCCAGCUCCAAUAGCGUAUAUUAAAGUUGUUGCGGUUAAAACGCUCGUAGUUGGAUCUGCGGUUUUCGGAGAACGGUCCCCCGAAAGGGUGGUCACUGUUACUCCAAGCCUAAUAUUCAGUCCGUUCUACGGUGCUCUUAACCGAGUGCCUAGAUCGACUGGAACGUUUACUUUGAAAAAAUUAGAGUGCUCAAAGCAGGCGGAAUAUCCUGAAUAAGGUGCAUGGAAUAAUGGAAUAGGACCUCGGUUCUAUUUUGUUGGUUUUCGGAAUCUGAGGUAAUGAUUAAGAGGAACAGACGGGGGCAUUCUUAUUCCGGCGCUAGAGGUGAAAUUCUUGGACCGACCGGAAGACGGACGACUGCGAAAGCAUUUGCCAAGAAUGUUUUCAUAAUCAAGAACGAAAGUUAGAGGUUCGAAGGCGAUCAGAUACCGCCCUAGUUCUAACCGUAAACGAUGACAACCAGCGAUUAGUCGGCGUUAAUAUAGACCCGACUAGCAGCUUCCGGGAAACCAAAGUUUUUCGUUUCCGGGGGAAGUAUGGUUGCAAAGCUGAAACUUAAAGGAAUUGACGGAAGGGCACCACCAGGAGUGGAGCCUGCGGCUUAAUUUGACUCAACACGGGAAAACUCACCCGGCCCGGACACCGUAAGGAUUGACAGACUGAGAGCUCUUUCU